UUGAAGCCAACCUGUUCUUGAACCCUUAAUCUUCACUGCAGUUACAUCACCAGCUCCUGCAACAUUGCUGAUCAGCACCGAAAUGAAGAUGCCUGAUCCUGAGACAGUAAAACGAAUUCCCCCUUCCUUUCUGCAUUUUAUCCUGUUCAACAAAUUUAAGGGAAAGAGAAUCAUUUCAGCAGAUCAAGGCUUCCAAGGCCAUAGGCCUUGCAUUCAAAUCAAUAAGAAACAAUUCCCUCCCAAAUGUAUAGGUGCAUGCAUCAUACCAACAUGAACAGGGCUGUGCAGUUUUCGGUGUGAACCGAAAAACCGAACCGAACCUAGCCAUUUCAAUUCAAUCGGUUUGGUUUUUUAGGUCUAUCGGUUCGAUUCGAUUCGGUUCGGUUUGAAAAUUUUAAUAUGUUCAGUUUUUUGUUCGGUUCGGUUUUUUAUCCGGUUAAAACCAAUUAAACCGAAUAGUAAAAUGGCCCAAAUAAUUUUUCAGGCCAAGAUGCAAAAGCCUCAAGGCCCAAGAUGCAUAACCCAGCCUAAAGAAUAAAAAUUCUUAUAUUUUUGGUUUAAUGCAACGGAACCGAACCGAUAUUUUUCGGUUUGGUUCGGUUCGGUUAUCCUUCGAUGAUCGAUUUGGUUCGGUUUAUAUUUUUAAGCGAUUCGGUAAACUGACCGAAUGCUCUCCCCUAAAUAUGAAUCUCUAAGAAAAUCUCUAGAUCCACAAACUUAAACAUCUCCAGUUCUCCACUUUGAGUGGAAAAGGUAGCAUAGAAUUAACUUCACUCUUUGCUACGUUACUCAAAUGUAAAUUAUAGGUCAAUUUUAGCAAAUGAUAUGGCCAUUUCAUGAAAUGGAAUGUUAAUAAGUUGUAAAGAAAUAAUGCAAAGUAAUAAAAGGCAGUUUUUUUAUGUAGAAGUGUGUUGUUUGUGAACUGUUUUGUCCCAUUUCCUAAGCAAGAAGAUUUGAAACAGCAAGGACAAGAAACAAGUUAUAAUAGAAUUGUCAAUAAUCAAAUGUCAUGUUUAAUAGAUACCUUGGAGAUGAAUCAGUAAAAAUCAAUAUGGUCCAAGGUGAAGGGGAAAUCAAAAGAAAACAUGAAUAUCAGGACUCAAGUACUCACAUUUCAGAGUCAAAUAUGGCCUUGAAAUUCAUGUAACCCCCAAAAACAGGAGACGCAUAGAAGAGCUGAAUUAUUGUUCACUCCAACCUUUUUCUUUGCAUCUUUCUUUUUUUUUUAAAAAAAAUAAUUUGAGGCAUAAAAGUGCCAAUUAGGAACCCAUUUGUCCCUAAUUUCCCACCUUAUCCUCAUUAUCUACCUCCAAAACGGGUUGCCAAUUUAUAAAGUAAACCAAUCAUUGGCCAUAUUCGAUAUUCGUCCACUAAAAUUAAAA
This 1382-nucleotide unclassified non-coding RNA is filed under the name Hevea brasiliensis (rubber tree). The record is from RNAcentral. Lineage: Eukaryota; Viridiplantae; Streptophyta; Magnoliopsida; Malpighiales; Euphorbiaceae.